UACAGAGGUGGCAAGCGUUGUUCGGAAUUACUGGGCGUAAAGCGUGCGCAGGCGGUUAUGUAAGACAGGUGUGAAAUCCCCGGGCUCAACCUGGGAACUGCAUUUGUGACUGCAUCGCUGGAGUGCGGCAGAGGGGGAUGGAAUUCCGCGUGUAGCAGUGAAAUGCGUAGAUAUGCGGAGGAACACCGAUGGCGAAGGCAAUCCCCUGGGCCUGCACUGACGCUCAUGCACGAAAGCGUGGGGAGCAAACAGG
RNAcentral lists this ribosomal RNA (253 nucleotides) under uncultured bacterium. RNAcentral's name for it is "partial 16S ribosomal RNA". It matches the Rfam family "Bacterial small subunit ribosomal RNA", at positions 524 to 776 of the family's 1533-position model. The record is from RNAcentral.